Molecule: ribosomal RNA, 253 nt
Filed under: uncultured bacterium
Lineage: Bacteria
Description: partial 16S ribosomal RNA
Rfam family: Bacterial small subunit ribosomal RNA
Source: RNAcentral
UACAGAGGUCCCAAGCGUUGUUCGGAUUUACUGGGCGUAAAGGGCGCGUAGGUGGCGAGGCAAGUUUGAUGUGAAAUCUCCGAGCUCAACUCGGAAAUGGCAUUGAAUACUAUCCCGCUUGAGGGUCGGAGGGGAGACUGGAAUUCUCGGUGUAGCAGUGAAAUGCGUAGAUAUCGAGAGGAACACCAGUGGCGAAGGCGAGUCUCUGGACGACUCCUGACACUGAGGCACGAAAGCUGGGGGAGCAAACAGG